AUUUGGAAUCUACAUCAGGGAGGUGACUGUCAAGCCUACCACUGGUGCCAUCGUCUGGAGACAAGUGGGGGAGAAAAGGAGACACAGGUGGAGAAACUAGAGAGGAGAGUGCAGGUCGAAGACAAUGGUGUCAGGAAGACUUAGCAUGGUGAUAUUGGCAGUUUUUAGCACAUUUCUUUUUUCAAUGAGCAUCAGCAGUAAUUAUGGUGGCUGAACAACAAGGGUUUAGUAAUAGAAACCAGAUGAAUGAAGCCAUCAUGGAAUCCUCUCUGUGCGAGAUGAUGUUCAGAAGAGGAAGCUGCUUCACAGAUAACAAUGUGGAAAUGUGAAGAUGGUCAAUAUUAAAUCAAUGGCAUUUAUUCAUGAAAACCAGCCUUCCUCUCACCCCUUGAAGCUGAUCAAGAACAACAUUUUGGUCCAUGUUUCCCUCUAGUGGAAUCUUACAGAAGCCACUGAAUAAGAUGGUCAUUUGGUACUCUUAAACAUCUGCAGUGUAAAGUGAGAAAAAUUUUGAAAACUCGUUAUCCUGUAUCCUUCGAAAAUGGUGAUGCAGGUUUGCAAAGGAACAUCAUAGCAGGAUUAACUAAGAAAAGAAGAUAUUCUCCCAGAGUGGGCAGCAUGUUAUACCUAUAGCCCAAAUAUAAGAAAGUUUGAGGAAAAAAAAAUGCAUAUAAAGGAAGCACAUGGAUUCCGCUCAUCACAGUGAAGGAGUUGGUAUGCAGCAGGAGUCUGUGAUGUCAACCAGAUGAAGGAGACAUAAUUCUCUUAUUUAGCAAACAGCCAAAGACUCAUCACAACUGUGAAUUUGUUGUCAGAUGAACAUUUGUUUACAUUUCUAAUAUCUUAACGAUUAUGAAAGAUGGUGACAAGAUAAUGUACAAAUAUUCUUGUGGGUUAAAAAUAAUGUGUAUAAGAAGGAAUGGCUAAUGUUUUUCUGUCAAUGUUAGUAAUAUAAGAGUAUUUGAGAAGAUACCAAGUGAGCCCUAAGCACUAACAAAUCCCACAGUAUAGAUACACUUCAGUAAACAUGACAAAACAUACAUACAAAACUUAUUUAAGGGGCACUGUGGUCAUUAGAGUCAAAGAUUCCUAGAAUCCAAAGCUGUUCCCUAGAUUCAUUUAUUUUCAUUUUUUGAAAACAACACAAAGAGCAAACAAACAAACCAAAACAAAACUAUAGCAAUAUAUUUCUGUGGUUAAUGCUGGUUAUUUAUUUAUUUAUUUAACUUUUCUGGGAAGUAAGCAAAGUUUUAGGGCUUAACAAUAUUUGAAACUGAAUAAUAUCUUAUUCCUUGUGAGUUAAGACACCUUCUUUUUCAGGUUUCAAUAUUUCUUUCUAACUUCGGGAACAAUCCACAAACUAUAUCCCAAGUAAUGAAAGUAGUGAUGUUAAAAUUAAUUACUCAAGAAAAUCAGAUUUCAUUAUUUUAAAAGAUCACCUCUGAAUGACUAUAUCCCAAAUUGUAAGAAAAAAAACCAUAAAUCCCUAUUUAUUUUCAACCUAAAUAGAAAAUAAAUAUAAGUAUGCAUUGAUUUGUAUAAUAUUUGAUUAAGCUUACUAAGUAAGUGCAGUAACACACCAGAUAGACAUGGUUAUAGAUGAUGCAGUGGACCACUUUUACCAAUGGUAUAUAUUUCUGCACUAUAGUUGCUAAAGUUACUAUAGGCUAGUGAGGCUCAGGAAAUAACAUGUCUCUUGGUUUUAGCAUACUAUUAAUCACUUACUCAAAUAAUGGUGAGUAGUUAAAUAAUUUUAUUUAUCAUUAACUGUAACUUACUGGAUUAUUCAUACAAUGUACAUUUGUGUGGCAACCAUCAUUUUAUUUGUUUGAACAUUUACUGUGUAUCUAUCAAUAAAGCAUAAUCAUUAAUAAAAAAAUAAAACAAC
Molecule: long non-coding RNA, 1888 nt
Filed under: Mus musculus (house mouse)
Lineage: Eukaryota; Metazoa; Chordata; Mammalia; Rodentia; Muridae
Description: RIKEN cDNA 8030451O07 gene
Source: RNAcentral